Molecule: long non-coding RNA, 597 nt
Organism: Hibiscus syriacus
Lineage: Eukaryota; Viridiplantae; Streptophyta; Magnoliopsida; Malvales; Malvaceae
Exons: 3
Source: RefSeq, a predicted model, not a curated record
AAUCUAACCUCAUAUAAACCCCAAAGGGUCAUCCUCUGAUCCCGCAUAAAACUCUAUCAGUGUCUCGCUCUUCUUUCCAAGAUAAGCGGCGGGAGAAGCAAGACGAGUCCCCUCGCGUCUUUCCCGUCAACGCAUAUCUUUCUUUGCUCCAAUCAAAGCUGUUGAUGGCGUCAAAGCUGCUGCAGUUUCAAUCUAAGGCCUCUGAAGCGUCGAAGCUUGUAGCCAAGCAUGGAACUUCUUACCACAAGUAGUUGUUGGAGCAGAACAAGCAAUACAUUCAGGAGCCACCAACAGUUGAAAAGUGCAGCGAGUUGUCUAAGCAGCUCUUUUACACCCGCCUUGCUAGUAUCCCUGGUCGUACUGAGUCAUUCUGAAAGGAGCUUGAUUAUGUGAAGAAUCUUUGGAAGAACAGGAAAGAACUGAAGGUUGAAGAUGCUGGUAUCGCAGCUUUGUUUGGAAGGUAUUUCAGGAAGUUGGAUGUAAAUGCCCUUAUCACUGUUCACAGAAUUGGAUUGUGGCCAACCCUUGAUGCAUAUAUUUCGUUGUUUUCAUGAAAUUUUUGAAGCUGAAAAAUAAGUGUUAAAUUGAUAGCCUAAA